AGUCCUCCUGAGUCCCCGGGUCGGCGUAGCGGAGUGGCGGGUAGAUAGUGGCCGUGUCGAGAGACCAAUGGCUGCCUGCGGGGUUCAGCGGCUCCAUCCUCGCUGCUGUAUCGUGGGGCUCCGGCUGUCAGAUGGUCACCAGGGACUGGAGGAAAACGGAGCCUGGCUAUGAGCGCCCGUCCGCGACUGGCAACUGGUCAGGUUAUCUCGGCCCGAGCAAUAAAGAUUUUAUCCCCCGAACCUCAUCGUCUCUCAUAUGGGAAGCUGCCACCUGACAGCUCUAUCCUCCGACAUAUUGCUUUGCCCAGAUUCUUUUCUUCCAAUUCACUUCUCGUCCUUUCUUUUUACAAUCUACUACUGGAGCGCCAAA
Molecule: long non-coding RNA, 370 nt
Organism: Scylla paramamosain (green mud crab)
Lineage: Eukaryota; Metazoa; Arthropoda; Malacostraca; Decapoda; Portunidae
Exons: 3
Source: RefSeq, a predicted model, not a curated record